This 306-nucleotide unclassified non-coding RNA is filed under the name plant metagenome. RNAcentral describes it as "partial contains 5.8S ribosomal RNA, internal transcribed spacer 2, and large subunit ribosomal RNA". The stretch from base 1 to 105 matches the Rfam family "5.8S ribosomal RNA", at positions 50 to 154 of the family's 154-position model. The record is from RNAcentral.
GAAAUGCGAUAAGUAAUGUGAAUUGCAGAAUUCAGUGAAUCAUCGAAUCUUUGAACGCACAUUGCGCCCGCCAGCACUCUGGCAGGCAUGCCUGUUCGAGCGUCAUUUCAACCCUCAGAACCCCUUGCGGGAUCUGGCGUUGGGGAUUGGCAUCCAGCCAGCCCCGAAAUCUAGUGGCGGUCCCUCCGCGACCUCCCAUGUGCAGUAGCGAUACCUCGCAGCGGGACAGGGUCUGACCACGCCGUAAAACCCCCAACUUCUCAAGGUUGACCUCGAAUCAGGUAGGAAUACCCGCCGAACUUAAGC